UGACAGUGCCUUCUUUUGGAGAAGAGGGGGAGGACAGUUUAUACCUUCAGUUCACUGGAGCUACUUGAUUGCAGACUAACUGAAUGGUCUCUGGAAAGAUUAGGCAAGGCUGCAGGCAUCAGCUACCUCACCACUCUCUGCCUGGACUACACAUGUAUAGUUAAGUUCUCCUGUUGCCUGACCGAACUGGAUCUCGGUGAGAAUCACAUCGGAGAGGACGGUGGGAAAGUGCUUUUAGAGGCCCUGAGAGACAGACAAGUAGGUAUGGAUUUAUAA
Molecule: long non-coding RNA, 276 nt
Organism: Cyprinus carpio carpio
Lineage: Eukaryota; Metazoa; Chordata; Actinopteri; Cypriniformes; Cyprinidae
Source: Ensembl